AGGGAUUUAUGUAAGUUACCCUUUGAAAAACUAGAUAUGCACGACCCGUUUUAUAUUUUUUUUAUUUCAACUUAUGUGAUGUAAAUAGAAUUUAGAUAAUUAAUCAUUAAAAUAAUUUAAGUUUUAAAUUAUUGUGAUUUAUAAUACUUUUUUUUCUAUUUCAAUUUAAGUGACAAUAAUAUAAUUUCGAGAGACGGUCAAAUAUUUUAUAUUUUUUAAUUUUUAAAAUUGCUAAUUAUCUGAUUUAUAAAAUUUUCAAUAAGUUAUGAAU
Molecule: long non-coding RNA, 271 nt
Filed under: Capsicum annuum
Lineage: Eukaryota; Viridiplantae; Streptophyta; Magnoliopsida; Solanales; Solanaceae
Description: long non-coding RNA (CANN_LNC013216)
Source: RNAcentral